Molecule: ribosomal RNA, 804 nt
Filed under: uncultured Alphaproteobacteria bacterium
Lineage: Bacteria; Pseudomonadati; Pseudomonadota; Alphaproteobacteria
Description: bacterial SSU rRNA
Rfam family: Bacterial small subunit ribosomal RNA
Source: RNAcentral
CGCUGGCGGCAUGCCUAACACAUGCAAGUCGAACGAAGUCUUCGGACUUAGUGGCGCACGGGUGAGUAACAUGUAGGAAUCUACCUAAAGGUUCGGAAUAACUGCGGGAAACUGUAGCUAAUACCGGAUGUGUCUGCAAAGAGAAAGAUUUAUCGCCUUUAGAUGAGCCUGCACUAGAUUAGUUUGUUGGUGAGGUAAAAGCUCCACCAAGACUACGAUCUAUAGCUGAUUUGAGAGGAUGAUCAGCCACACUGGGACUGAGACACGGCCCAGACUCCUACGGGAGGCAGCAGUGGGGAAUAUUGGACAAUGGGGGAAACCCUGAUCCAGCAAUGCCGCGUGAGUGAAGAAGGCCCUCGGGUUGUAAAACUCUUUCAUCAGUGAAGAUAAUGACAUUAACUGAAGAAGAAGCUCCGGCUAACUCCGUGCCAGCAGCCGCGGUAAUACGGAGGGGGCUAGCGUUGUUCGGAAUUACUGGGCGUAAAGCGCAUGUAGGCGGAUCAAAAAGUUAGAUGUGAAAUCCCUGAGCUUAACUCAGGAACUGCAUUUAAAACUAGUGAUCUAGAAUUUGGUAGAGGAUAGUAGAAUUUCCAGUGUAGAGGUGAAAUUCGUAGAUAUUGGAAAGAAUACCAGAGGCGAAGGCGACUAUCUGGGCCAAUUUUGACGCUGAGAUGCGAAAGCGUGGGUAGCAAACAGGAUUAGAUACCCUGGUAGUCCACGCAGUAAACGAUGAGUGCUAGUCGCUGGGUCAUUAGAUUCGGUGUCGAAGCUAACGCAUUAAGCACUCCGCCUGGGAAGUACGGU